This 486-nucleotide ribosomal RNA is filed under the name Carnobacterium maltaromaticum. RNAcentral describes it as "bacterial SSU rRNA". It matches the Rfam family "Bacterial small subunit ribosomal RNA", at positions 1 to 469 of the family's 1533-position model. The record is from RNAcentral. Lineage: Bacteria; Bacillati; Bacillota; Bacilli; Lactobacillales; Carnobacteriaceae.
AUUUUAUAUGAGAGUUUGAUCCUGGCUCAGGACGAACGCUGGCGGCGUGCCUAAUACAUGCAAGUCGAACGCACGAAGUUGAAGAGCUUGCUCUUUAACCAAGUGAGUGGCGGACGGGUGAGUAACACGUGGGUAACCUGCCCAUUAGAGGGGGAUAACAUUCGGAAACGGAUGCUAAUACCGCAUAGUUUCAGGAAUCGCAUGAUUCUUGAAGGAAAGGUGGCUUCGGCUACCACUAAUGGAUGGACCCGCGGCGUAUUAGCUAGUUGGUGAGGUAAUGGCUCACCAAGGCAAUGAUACGUAGCCGACCUGAGAGGGUGAUCGGCCACACUGGGACUGAGACACGGCCCAGACUCCUACGGGAGGCAGCAGUAGGGAAUCUUCCGCAAUGGACGAAAGUCUGACGGAGCAACGCCGCGUGAGUGAAGAAGGUUUUCGGAUCGUAAAACUCUGUUGUUAAAGAAGAACAAGGAUGAGAGUAACUGA